This 463-nucleotide ribosomal RNA is filed under the name uncultured bacterium. RNAcentral's name for it is "bacterial SSU rRNA". It matches the Rfam family "Bacterial small subunit ribosomal RNA", at positions 34 to 487 of the family's 1533-position model. The record is from RNAcentral.
GAAUUCACUAGUGAUUCAGGCCUAACACAUGCAAGUCGAGCGGUAGAGAGAAGCUUGCUUCUCUUGAGAGCGGCGGACGGGUGAGUAAUGCCUAGGAAUCUGCCUGGUAGUGGGGGAUAAAGUUCGGAAACGGACGCUAAUACCGCAUACGUCCUACGGGAGAAAGCAGGGGACCUUCGGGCCUUGCGCUAUCAGAUGAGCCUAGGUCGGAUUAGCUAGUUGGUGAGGUAAUGGCUCACCAAGGCUACGAUCCGUAACUGGUCUGAGAGGAUGAUCAGUCACACUGGAACUGAGACACGGUCCAGACUCCUACGGGAGGCAGCAGUGGGGAAUAUUGGACAAUGGGCGAAAGCCUGAUCCAGACGGGCCGCGUGUAUGAAGAAGGUCUUCGGAUUGUAAUUAACAGGAAGUUGGGAGGAAGGGCAUUAACCUAAUACGUUAGUGUUUGACGUACCGACAGAAU